This 207-nucleotide ribosomal RNA is filed under the name uncultured bacterium. Its description in RNAcentral is "partial 16S ribosomal RNA". It matches the Rfam family "Bacterial small subunit ribosomal RNA", at positions 568 to 774 of the family's 1533-position model. The record is from RNAcentral.
CGCGCAGGCGGUCGUUCAAGUCGCGUGUGAAAGCCCCCGGCUCAACUGGGGAGGGUCACGCGAUACUGAUCGACUCGAAGGCAGGAGAGGGUAGUGGAAUUCCCGGUGUAGUGGUGAAAUGCGUAGAUAUCGGGAGGAACACCAGUGGCGAAGGCGACUACCUGGCCUGUUUCUUGACGCUGAGGCGCGAAAGCUAGGGAGCAAACG